CAGGCCUAACACAUGCAAGUCGAGCGGUAACAGAUCCAGCUUGCUGGAUGCUGACGAGCGGCGGACGGGUGAGUAACGCAUAGGAAUUUACUCGAUAGUGGGGGAUAACCUGGGGAAACCCAGGCUAAUACCGCAUACGUCCUACGGGAGAAAGGGGGCCUUGGCUCCCGCUAUCGGAUGAGCCUAUGCCGGAUUAGCUGGUUGGUGAGGUAAUGGCUCACCAAGGCGACGAUCCGUAGCUGGUCUGAGAGGAUGAUCAGCCACAUCGGGACUGAGACACGGCCCGAACUCCUACGGGAGGCAGCAGUGGGGAAUAUUGGACAAUGGGGGCAACCCUGAUCCAGCCAUGCCGCGUGUGUGAAGAAAGCCCUCGGGUUGUAAAGCACUUUCAGCGAGGAAGAACGCCUGGCGGUUAAUACCCGCCAGGAAAGACAUCACUCGCAGAAGAAGCACCGGCUAACUCCGUGCCAGCAGCCGCGGUAAUACGGAGGGUACAAGCGUUAAUCGGAAUUACUGGGCGUAAAGCGCGCGUAGGUGGCUUGAUAAGCCGGUUGUGAAAGCCCCGGGCUCAACCUGGGAACGGCAUCCGGAACUGUCAGGCUAGAGUGCAGGAGAGGAAGGUAGAAUUCCCGGUGUAGCGGUGAAAUGCGUAGAGAUCGGGAGGAAUACCAGUGGCGAAGGCGGCCUUCUGGACUGACACUGACACUGAGGUGCGAAAGCGUGGGUAGCAAACAGGAUUAGAUACCCUGGUAGUCCACGCCGUAAACGAUGUCGACCAGCCGUUGGGUGCCUAGCGCACUUUGUGGCGAAGUUAACGCGAUAAGUCGACCGCCUGGGGAGUCGGCCGCAAGGUUAAAAC
RNAcentral lists this ribosomal RNA (859 nucleotides) under uncultured bacterium. Its description in RNAcentral is "bacterial SSU rRNA". It matches the Rfam family "Bacterial small subunit ribosomal RNA", at positions 43 to 900 of the family's 1533-position model. The record is from RNAcentral.